UCCACGGUAGCUCAGUUGGUAGAGCAGGCGGCUGUUAACCGCCUUGUCGGGGGUUCGAGUCCCUCCCGUGGAGCCA
RNAcentral lists this transfer RNA (76 nucleotides) under Pseudomonadota bacterium. RNAcentral describes it as "Proteobacteria bacterium (freshwater metagenome) tRNA-Asn". It matches the Rfam family "tRNA". Rfam says of the family: Transfer RNA (tRNA) molecules are approximately 80 nucleotides in length. Their secondary structure includes four short double-helical elements and three loops (D, anti-codon, and T loops). The record is from RNAcentral. Lineage: Bacteria; Pseudomonadati; Pseudomonadota.